UGCUGUUCUGAAUCAGUCAUAACAUGAAAGGGAAAUCAAAGCCACUUUAAGACAAAGCAUGUGACAUUAUAGGGCUGGCUGGAGAACAAGAAUUCUGUUUCAUGAAAAAUAUCAAAUAUCAACAUUUGGUUUCAUCCCACAUUAGAAUGAAAAUGGGACCUUUCAAAAAUGUUUGUGGAAAAAACAUGUGAGAGAAACCCACAGGAGUCAGCAGUCUUCUGAUUAGGCCACUCACCUGGUGAGAGACCCAGCUGCCAGUCCCUCCUCUAAUUCAGUGCAAGAACUGGACCCUCUGUGUACCAUAUCCCAGUGUUGGACCAAGGAAGAUAUGAAUAAAUAACUGCACUGAUUUCCAUUUGUUCGAUCAGCUCUCUGAUGCUCUGGUUGAUCAUCCCAGUCUGAGGAAGAGCUACACUGGUUGAUUAUUGCAGGAAUGAAAGGCACUCUGACCUUGUCGACCGAACGCCUUGCUGCUUUCAAUGUUGCCCAUUAUGCUGAAG
Molecule: long non-coding RNA, 500 nt
Organism: Pelodiscus sinensis (Chinese soft-shelled turtle)
Lineage: Eukaryota; Metazoa; Chordata; Testudines; Trionychidae
Source: RefSeq, a predicted model, not a curated record